This is a long non-coding RNA of Oxyura jamaicensis (ruddy duck), 1937 nucleotides long. RefSeq lists it as uncharacterized. Lineage: Eukaryota; Metazoa; Chordata; Aves; Anseriformes; Anatidae. The transcript is spliced from 2 exons. The record is from RefSeq and is a predicted model, not a curated record.
UCUUUUGUCCUAGAGCUGCAGACAAAAUGUGGCCUCAUAAUCAGAGCAUCACCCCACUGUUUCAUUCCCUGGUUUUAGCAGUGCUCCAAGGAAGCAUCAGCUAAACUCCAGGUCACUGCCAUGCCUGAUAGGUAUCAGAAGAGAAACAUUGAUUCAAUCAGAGGCUUGCAUGGUUGUUUGUUAUAAAAUACACAUCAAAUCACAGCUGCUCAGUAAUCAUCAGGAGACACAGCCUAUGGGGCUGUUUUCCCCUGUUCUUGGUGUGUUUCUUUCCUGGUGCUCUGCUCACAAACCAUCCACAGUGACUUUAGGGGAUGGCUUCCUGUUAGUUGACACUGCAAGAACUCCUAAAACCCCUUUUUAAUGUGACUUCAUUAAAGUGGCAUGUGGAAAAAUGCUGUGACAUUGCCAUCGUGACCACAAUUACAUUACAGUGAUCUGCUCUUUUUCCAAACAGCUUGCAGCGGAUGUGAGCUGAAGGGUGCAGGAGGCAAAGCUCUGCACGUGGCCACCACCCUAGCUUCAACAACAGUGACUGCUAGGCAAUGGAAAAUUGUUGGGUAAUUAUCUGAAAUCCAAUACAGGCAAAGUCUUGGUUUUGUGUGACAUACCAGGUGAUGUCUGGAACUGCUCAGAAUUUUGCUGUGUGGAACAUGGAAUAUUUUCCAGGUUAAAGAAACAGUGAUGGGGAGAUGAAACAUGAAUGUCUUCUUACUGGUAUUUUCAACUAGUCAUCAGUGUUUUUAGGUUAUAAGUGAUGCAGAGAUAUAAAUAUAGAUCUAACAUCAUGAAACUGCUUAAUAAACUGCAAUUAUUUCCUUAGGUGCUGAACAAUUUAAGACUCUCACCUCUUCAGCAGCUCUGAAAAUACCUAGUUUUGAUUGCACAAAUGUGCAAUGUGGUACCCACUGGGAAAGUUUUCACUGGAGCAGUUUGACUGAAUCAUCCCCAAAUAAGCUUUUGAAAAUCAAGGUUCUCUACUUAUUGAAGAAAGUAAUUCCCAAGAUCCUGGCUUCCUCACUCUUGGGUGACUGAGGGAUCAGCUUCAGGAGCAUCUUUCACUACAGUUCUUGAGUCUCAGUGAUAAAAGGAGGUGAGAGAAUGAGAAAAAAAAAUCAACAAACUGUAAAACACAAAGCAAAAGAUGGAACAAAUAUGACUUUAGAAAACGUGGCAUUAGAAAAUGUGUGCAUGUGCCAUGUAUCUCUUGGGAUGCCUAUUUUGUUAAUAUGAUAUUAAUUUCAUUUUUAGCAGACUACAUUUUGUACAGGACCACAGUAAGAACAGGAGACUCUUGCUUCCAGUAAGCAGCACUGCUGUCUUGCUGCCUGGACUGUCUGAAGAAAACGAGUAACCAGGCCAUGGCUUCAGAUUAAUCUGAUUUUCAAAGAUUUUUCUUCACGCUGCAGUGAAUUGGAACUGUUAAGUGGUUCCAGAAGGUCACCGAACAUCAGAUGCUGAGUUCUGCUCAUCGCUAAUAAGACGAACUGGUGGAGGGUGCAAAGAGAUCUGUCACCGUUACAGCCCAUGCCAGACAAUAUUGACUCGUCUUUAAUUAGUCUUUAGAGGAGGCAGCAGUUUGUUGACAGCACCUUUAUGAAUUGGCUCAUAAAAAUAUUUUAUUAAUCCCAGCACAGGUCACAGCUACCAGAUAUUAACUGAACUGCUGUACCGUAGAAAGAGGGAGGACAGCUGUUGAUACCUGAAGAUAAAAUAGAAAGGAGGUUUCUUGGCUUUCCUGGAGGAAGCACCUUUUGGAUUGACCCUUACACAGCAGCCUAGUUUGGCUGCUUAGUUUGGAUGGGGCAUUUUAAGGCAUAUAAAUAAUAACACCUGUGACUCUGGCCUGCUUGCUGAACUUUGAACUUUGGUAGUGGGCACUGCCUUCCACAAGAGAAUCAAACCAGCAAAAAAGCAGAUGAUAUACAUCAAUAUCU